RNAcentral lists this ribosomal RNA (497 nucleotides) under uncultured bacterium. RNAcentral's name for it is "partial 16S ribosomal RNA". It matches the Rfam family "Bacterial small subunit ribosomal RNA", at positions 28 to 507 of the family's 1533-position model. The record is from RNAcentral.
GAUGAACGCUGGCGGCGUGCCUAAUACAUGCAAGUCGAGCGAACAGACGAGGAGCUUGCUCCUCUGACGUUAGCGGCGGACGGGUGAGUAACACGUGGAUAACCUACCUAUAAGACUGGGAUAACUUCGGGAAACCGGAGCUAAUACCGGAUAAUAUAUUGAACCGCAUGGUUCAAUAGUGAAAGACGGUUUUGCUGUCACUUAUAGAUGGAUCCGCGCCGCAUUAGCUAGUUGGUAAGGUAACGGCUUACCAAGGCAACGAUGCGUAGCCGACCUGAGAGGGUGAUCGGCCACACGGGAACUGAGACACGGUCCAGACUCCUACGGGAGGAAGCAGUAGGGAAUCUUCCGCAAUGGGCGAAAGCCGGACGGAGCAACGCCGCGGGAGUGAUGAAGGUCUUCGGAUCGUAAAACUCUGUUAUUAGGGAAGAACAAAUGUGUAAGUAACUAUGCACGUCUUGACGGUACCUAAUCAGAAAGCCACGGCUAACUACGUG